RNAcentral lists this ribosomal RNA (304 nucleotides) under uncultured bacterium. RNAcentral describes it as "partial 16S ribosomal RNA". It matches the Rfam family "Bacterial small subunit ribosomal RNA", at positions 506 to 807 of the family's 1533-position model. The record is from RNAcentral.
CAGCAGUAGCCGCGGUAAUACAGAGGGUGCAAGCGUUAAUCGGAAUUACUGGGCGUAAAGCGCGCGUAGGUGGUUCGCCAAGUUGGAUGUGAAAUCCCCGGGCUCAACCUGGGAACUGCAUCCAAAACUGGCGAGCUAGAGUAUGGUAGAGGGUGGAGGAAUUUCCUGUGUAGCGGUGAAAUGCGUAGAUAUAGGAAGGAACAUCAGUGGCGAAGGCGACCACCUGGACUGAUACUGACACUGAGGUGCGAAAGCGUGGGGAGCAAACAGGAUUAGAUACCCCUGUAGUCCCUGUCUCUUAUAC